GUGAGGAAUUUUCCGCAAUGGGCGAAAGCCUGACGGAGUAAUGCCGCGUGAAGGAUGAAGGCCUAUGGGUUGUAAACUUCUUUUCUCAGAAAAGAAUUAUGACGGUAUCUGAGGAAUAAGCAUCGGCUAACUCUGUGCCAGCAGCCGCGGUAAGACAGAGGAUGCAAGCGUUAUCCGGAAUGAUUGGGCGUAAAGCGUCUGUAGGUUGUUUAAAAAGUAUUCUGUCAAAGAUUAGGGCUUAACCCUAGAUAGGCAGAAUAAACUUUUAAGCUAGAGUUUGGUAGAAGCAGAGGGAAUUCCCGGUGGAGCGGUGAAAUGCGUAGAUAUCGGGAGGAACAACAAAGGCGAAGGCACUCUGCUGGGCCAAUACUAACACUGAGAGACGAAAGCGAGGGGAGCAAAUGGGAUUAGAAACCCGUGUAGUCC
Molecule: ribosomal RNA, 426 nt
Filed under: uncultured bacterium
Lineage: Bacteria
Description: bacterial SSU rRNA
Rfam family: Bacterial small subunit ribosomal RNA
Source: RNAcentral